Molecule: microRNA precursor, 73 nt
Filed under: Myotis lucifugus (little brown bat)
Lineage: Eukaryota; Metazoa; Chordata; Mammalia; Chiroptera; Vespertilionidae
Description: mir-9193 microRNA precursor family
Rfam family: mir-9193 microRNA precursor family
Source: Rfam by way of RNAcentral
CACGGGGAGGGGGGUCCCUCAGCCUGGAUUGCGAGAGGGUGCAAGCCAGGCCGAGGGACCCCACCAGUGUACA